GGCUGCUGAACAACACUUUCAGCUGGGCAGCUGUUGGGUAAAGGUGGUGCAAGUUAUAUUCAUUACAACUAAUUUCAUAUGCGCCAUAGCCGGGCAACUUUAUUUCGCAAUAACUAAUUGAAAUGCAGUUUUUGUGCAAAUCCCCUUUUUAAAGUUGGCUGUUGGCCAUUGGCUUUGUUAAGCUGCGGUUGGUUAUUUCCAAAGAAUAAGUUUUACGGCCAAUUGCAUAUAAAAAAACUAAUUUAAAUGUUGCAAUCGAGAAUACGGCACUGUCGGUACACAGCGCUCGUUACCUUUUGAUGAAAACUAUCAAGUUCAUGGAGGAUAAUUAACAAAAGCAGCGCCAACAACCUGAACCCCUCGACUCCACCCUCCUCCACACCAAACCAUCCCCGCAACGUUCAUUUUUGUACAUGUAGCCCAAAAAUAGAUAUUUAAUUUGACUUUUGGUGGCCAACGCAAGUGGCAGGGGCAAUCACCCUCGUGUUGGGGUUCAGUUACACUCCGGCUUAAAGUUUUGAUCCUGGGCUGGCUUUGCAGCUGCCUAGGACCCCACUCGCUCAAUGGCAUUAUUCUAGGAAAACGCUAUGGCUAUAGCAUAAGCUUGAUCGACAUUCGAUAUUUGGAAUCCUUACCAUCCCGCCACUCAUCCUCAGCGGCUACAAUGCUGAUCACUACGAUAAUUGAGGCUGCGUUUUUGAAGUUAAGCCCUUCGUUAGGAACUGCUGAAAUAUUUGCAACUGAUUGCCCAUUACAAAUGGGUUAAAAGCGAGUUAUAUGCACAUGUACAAAGCGGACAGAAGGAGCCAUCUCCGUCUCUAUCUAGCUUAUAGAAUUUUCAUUGGCAUCGCCAUAACUGAUCACAUUCAAAGAUUAUCAGCUGACAGUUCGAAAGUUAGUUUGUAAACAAUACACUUAUAUUGUUAACACAAUAGCAGGCGGAAAAUAUCAUAUUUUGUAUUAAUCACAUGCCUUUUAAAUAAAGCCAGUAUGAGUAUGAGUAUGACGAGCUAAGUCAUGAUCGAUUUGGAUAUUAUUAUAUAUAUUAUAUAUGGAGUGUGUAUUUGAGUGAAUAUUUGA
Molecule: long non-coding RNA, 1080 nt
Organism: Drosophila montana
Lineage: Eukaryota; Metazoa; Arthropoda; Insecta; Diptera; Drosophilidae
Exons: 3
Source: RefSeq, a predicted model, not a curated record